This is a non-coding RNA of Megalobrama amblycephala (Wuchang bream), 510 nucleotides long. The record is from the annotation of a RefSeq genome assembly. NCBI's taxonomy places the organism in Eukaryota, Metazoa, Chordata, Actinopteri, Cypriniformes, Xenocyprididae.
AUGGAUAACACAGGGAAUGAAGUAUACAGCAAGAGGAAACAAACAGACACCAACACCCUGACACAUUUUCACAAAGAACAGAACACAAUCUUCAUCAUCACACAAGACAAAAGAACAACAAUGAACACAAUCACCUUCUUCAUCUGGACUCUCACACUGUUUAUUCAAGGUUUCAGUGGACAGGUGACUGUGACUCAAACUCCUUCUGUAAAAACGGUUCAGAUUGGUGAAUCUGUCACUAUAAACUGCAAAACAAACACAGCAGUGAGAGAUGCCUGUCCAGGUUCAUAUACUUGUAUGGCCUGGUACCAGCAGAAACCUGGAGAAGGUCCUAAACUCCUCAUAUAUUAUGCAACAAGCCGUUAUCCUGGAACUCCAUCUAGAUUCAGUGGCAGUGGAUCUAACAGUGAUUUCACUCUGACCAUCAGUGGAGUCCAGACUGAAGAUACAGGAGAUUAUUACUGUCAGAGUUUACACUAUAUCAACAGUCAAUAUGUGUUCACACAGUGA